CGUGAUCAUUAUUACACGUUACUAAAAGGUCGCUGAAACUCAAUUAUAUUAUAUCGUUAAGUUUUAGGUUCAAGAAGAGACAAGUGUGUCAUUAUUACUUAGUUUGUGGGCGUGACUUGUGAGUGAAAUUUGUAGAUACGUCAUGUCUUACAUUGCCGACUCUUCAGUUCUUCCAUUGUGGACUGCUGUUAUCUUUGGAGUAAUCUGCCAUUCUAAGCCAAUUCAAUUUGAUCAAAAACAACUCAUUUCUUCAGAUCAAGAGGCAGAAUGUACAUUUACUUGUACUCCAGUUGAAGGCAGUGCCGAAUAUGAAAACUGUGAAUACGACUGUGUUGUGAAAGAUGCCACUUUUUACACCAAAGAACAAAGAAAACCGA
Long non-coding RNA from Homalodisca vitripennis (glassy-winged sharpshooter), 377 nucleotides. RefSeq lists it as uncharacterized. Lineage: Eukaryota; Metazoa; Arthropoda; Insecta; Hemiptera; Cicadellidae. The transcript has 3 exons. The record is from RefSeq and is a predicted model, not a curated record.